AGGACAUGCAACUCACAAAGUUCAUCCUUGUCUCUCUCCAAAAGACAAGCUAAUCAAAGACAGAAAGAAAGAAACAGCCGAUUCACUAAGGAAGUAUGCAAAUCAGUGCUAGGUCAUGGAGGAUGCAGCAGACAACCAUGAUGUGGCACAUUUUUACUGGGAUUUUACAACAUUACAGUGUGAGUACCAUCAUUUGAUGAAUUACUUUUGCCAUGAC
Molecule: long non-coding RNA, 217 nt
Organism: Myxocyprinus asiaticus (Chinese sucker)
Lineage: Eukaryota; Metazoa; Chordata; Actinopteri; Cypriniformes; Catostomidae
Exons: 3
Source: RefSeq, a predicted model, not a curated record